This 23-nucleotide small nuclear RNA is filed under the name Arabidopsis thaliana (thale cress). RNAcentral describes it as "snRNA_16652". Lineage: Eukaryota; Viridiplantae; Streptophyta; Magnoliopsida; Brassicales; Brassicaceae. The record is from RNAcentral.
GUUCGGUAAGAAUAUUUUGUGUC